Molecule: long non-coding RNA, 459 nt
Organism: Portunus trituberculatus (swimming crab)
Lineage: Eukaryota; Metazoa; Arthropoda; Malacostraca; Decapoda; Portunidae
Exons: 2
Source: RefSeq, a predicted model, not a curated record
AGAGAGAGAGAGAGAGAGAGAGAGAGAGAGAGAGAGAGAGAGAGAGAGAGAGAGAGAGAGAGAGAGAGAGAGAGAGAGAGAGAGAAUUAUAAAACAAACAGGUAGGCACUCAAUUAUAAUUACAGGUACUUUAAAUUCGACAGACAGACAGACAGACAGACAAGCAGACAGACAGACAGACAGACAGGUAAACAAGAAGACAAGCAAAAGAAAAUGUAAUGAAAUGGAUGAAACACAAAUAAGUAAACAGGAAAACUUUAAAAAAAAUGAUAAAAAAAGUUGUGAUUGACAUGAUAACAAAUGAACUUAGACACAUAAAAAACAGGAGAGGACAGGUAAAUGUACAGGUGUUUAGAGAAGUAGAGUCCUUUAAUUAGCGUGAUUCGGAUGAGUAACGCUGAUGUAAUAACUCCGGCUGAUUGUUACUGUUGUUCAUGAAUACACGCUGUUAUGGUUGUU